AAGCAUAAAAAGAUGACUGCUUGAAAAACCUUCAAGAGGAAAGUCCGAGCUGCAGUGAGACACGAUUCCAUCUAACGGAUGGCCAUUGUAAAAUGAGAGCAAGUGCAACAGAAAACAGACCGCCAUUUCAUUAUGGUAAGGGUGAAACGGUGUGGUAAGAGCAUACCAGAGUUUUGAGCAAUCAAAACUGCUUUGUAAACCUAAUCGGCAGCAAGAAGGGGUGGUUAUUGUCUCACACUACUACCCUUCGCUAUAACCGCAAAGUGAUUUGACGAGUUUAGAUAAAUAGUCAUCCUCGACAGAACUCGGCUUAUUUUUAUGCUUACUU
Molecule: RNase P RNA, 328 nt
Filed under: Campylobacterales bacterium
Lineage: Bacteria; Pseudomonadati; Campylobacterota; Epsilonproteobacteria; Campylobacterales
Description: RNase P RNA component class A
Rfam family: Bacterial RNase P class A
About the family: Ribonuclease P (RNase P) is a ubiquitous endoribonuclease, found in archaea, bacteria and eukarya as well as chloroplasts and mitochondria.
Source: RNAcentral